GACGAACGCUGGCGGCGUGCUUAACACAUGCAAGUCGAACGGAAAGGCCCUGCUUUUGUGGGGUGCUCGAGUGGCGAACGGGUGAGUAACACGUGAGUAACCUGCCCUUGACUUUGUGAUAACUUCAGGAAACUGGGGCUAAUACCGGAUAGGAUCUCCUGCUGCAUGGUGGUGGUUGGAAAGUUUCGGCGGUUGGGGAUGUACUCGCGGCUUAUGAGCUUGUUGGUCGGGUAGUGGCUUACCAAGGCUUUGACGGCUAGCCGGCCUGAGAGGGUGAACGGCCACAAUGGGACUGCGAUACGGAGCAGAAGCGUAUGGGAGGCAGCAGUGGGGAAUAUUGCACAGUGGGCGGAAGCGUGAUGCAGCAACGCCGCGUGCGGGAUGACGGGCUUCGGGUUGUGAACAGAUUUGGACUGUGACGAAGCGUGCGUGACGGUAAUGGGUAAAGAAGCACCGGCUAACUACGUG
RNAcentral lists this ribosomal RNA (468 nucleotides) under uncultured bacterium. RNAcentral describes it as "partial 16S ribosomal RNA". It matches the Rfam family "Bacterial small subunit ribosomal RNA", at positions 28 to 507 of the family's 1533-position model. The record is from RNAcentral.